GAUGAGCCCGCGUCCCAUCAGCUAGUUGGUGAGGUAACGGCUCACCAAGGCUUAGGCGGGUAGCUGGUCUGAGAGGAUGAUCAGCCACACUGGGACUGCGACACGGCCCAGACUCCUACGGGAGGCAGCAGUGGGGAAUAUUGGGCAAUGGGCGAAAGCCUGACCCAGCCACGCCGCGUGAGGGAUGACGGCCUUCGGGUUGUAAACCUCUUUCAGCAGGGACGAAGCGCAAGUGACGGUACCUGCAGAAGAAGCACCGGCUAACUACGUGCCAGCAGCCGCGGUAAUACGUAGGGUGCAAGCGUUGUCCGGAAUUACUGGGCGUAAAGAGUUCGUAGGCGGUUUGUCGCGUCGUUUGUGAAAACCCAGCAGCUCAACUGCUGGCUUGCAGGCGAUACGGGCAGACUUGAGUACUGCAGGGGAGACUGGAAUUCCUGGUGUAGCGGUGAAAUGCGCAGAUAUCAGGAGGAACACCGGUGGCGAAGGCGUGUCUCUGGGCAGUAACUGACGCUGAGGAACGAAAGCGUGGGUAGCGAACAGGAUUAGAUACCCUGGUAGUCCACGCCGUAACGGUGGGCGCUAGGUGUGGGUUCCUUUCCACGGAAUUCCGUGCCGUAGCUUACGCAUUAAGCGCCCCGCCU
This 641-nucleotide ribosomal RNA is filed under the name uncultured bacterium. RNAcentral describes it as "bacterial SSU rRNA". It matches the Rfam family "Bacterial small subunit ribosomal RNA", at positions 224 to 874 of the family's 1533-position model. The record is from RNAcentral.